RNAcentral lists this long non-coding RNA (553 nucleotides) under Bos taurus (domestic cattle). Its description in RNAcentral is "long non-coding RNA NONBTAT007093". The record is from RNAcentral. Lineage: Eukaryota; Metazoa; Chordata; Mammalia; Artiodactyla; Bovidae.
GACGUCAGCCUCGCCUGGCCUUACAGCCAGCGACUGAGUGGCUUACCCAAAGUGCGGAACCAAAGUUCCUGCUUCUGACUGGUUGACAGAACCGCUCAUCCCAGCGCGACAACGCCUUUCUGACAAUCGCCGGGGUGUCAUCAUUGGUAGGAGGAUGAACCUCCUGCCUCAGCGGAAGCUCAGGCGAAACUCGACAACGAGGCGGUGGUCUUGGACUCUGCUGGGAGACAUUGCGGAUGCUUUGCGUUUUCGUGUUGCAUAAGUUCAAAUUUUGAAGUCGUCUCUAAUGGUGUCGCUAACUUCUUUUUUACUUUCCCUCUUGUGUGUGCCGCGAAUUAAAGUCAAAAAGGGUGGGGAAAGCAUUGAUUGAGUGGGUCUCCCUGUACCUAUUAAGAUUGGAUGCAAGUUAGUUGUCAAGUUUAGGUAAUGUUUCUCGUAGCUCUUAACCCAAACUUUUUUAAGCUAUUGGAAAUACAAGUCUCAUUUGAGGAGUAUUCAGUAUGUAUUCAUGUGUUUUGGCAACGAAGCUGAAUAAAGAUGAGAUAAAGUGUGU